RNAcentral lists this non-coding RNA (199 nucleotides) under Roseiflexus sp. Its description in RNAcentral is "GlcN6P sequence". It matches the Rfam family "glmS glucosamine-6-phosphate activated ribozyme aptamer". From Rfam's summary of the family: This entry contains a glucosamine-6-phosphate activated ribozyme that is found in the mRNA for GlmS. GlmS is an enzyme that uses fructose-6-phosphate and glutamine to generate glucosamine-6-phosphate. The record is from RNAcentral. Lineage: Bacteria; Bacillati; Chloroflexota; Chloroflexia; Chloroflexales; Roseiflexaceae.
GGUCAGAAGGAAGCGCAUGGGCUGCGGGUCCUUCCCCGCAGUUGACGAGGUGGAGGUUCCCUGUCGCGCGACAGGGCUAACGUCGGCGUUACCGGCGGAACAUCGAGAGAUCAGCGGAUGCCUCCCAGGCGUGCUGCCGCCUGUAAGCGCUCCGGGAAACCCAUCCGGCGACGGAUGGAAACAAAGCGCCUUGCAGUCA